This 68-nucleotide microRNA precursor is filed under the name Caenorhabditis elegans. Its description in RNAcentral is "Cel-Mir-238_pre stem-loop". Lineage: Eukaryota; Metazoa; Nematoda; Chromadorea; Rhabditida; Rhabditidae. The record is from RNAcentral.
UGGAUGUUCUCGGACGUUCAAAGCUACAUCCAACAAAUUGGUAGCUUUGUACUCCGAUGCCAUUCAGA